GGAUCUGGCAUACUCUGGGGUCAGGUUUUCAAAAAAAAAAAUUUUAAACGCUUUUCCGCUGUGUUUCAAACUAAAAGGGGACCCCGGGGCGUGACAAAAGAACUCCAUCAGAUUAAAGUAUUAAAAGGAUUAAGUAUUAUACAAUGCAUAAAACAAACUAGAAGAACUUAAAUAUACAAAGAUAAAAAUUACAAUAAUUAUGAUAAUGAACAUUUUUCUCUCAGCGUCUGUGACCCUUGUGGAGAGCUCAUCAAUUCGUGCUUUUAGCUGUUUUCGUUUCUACAUGAUUAAUAUGUUCAAACAGCCAUUCAUCUAAACAUUUUGUCGGUGACGCAAAAUAUUGAAAAAACAUACUCCUUUUCACUUUUGAAGAGUUAGCGCUAUCUUCUUCACAUAUAUCUUUGUCUCUCCCUAUAAUUUUAAUGUCGCACCAUUGAAAAAAAUCUCAAUAAUUCUCAUUUUCUUUCCUAUAAUUAGAACACCCAUAAAAUAAUCUCCCACUACUAUUAGGUUGAGAGAAAACUCUUAAAACAAUAAUUUCAUUACGGUUGCAGCGAACCCACUUGUUGAUUAUACUUCUCAUAUUAAAUGAUAAUAAUUACCUACAUGAAAAAAUAAAUUAGUUAUAAUAAAUUUAUUUAUAAGGAUACAUACAAAUAUUAGUAAAUUUUUUUCUAUAAUUUUUUUAAAAAUUAGCAAAAAAAUAAAAAAUUUUAGCACAAAUCUUGUAUUUCCUUUUUUACAUAAUUUUUAAUUUUUAUAAAAACAAUAAAAGAAUAUAAAAUUGCACCAAGAAUCGUGUAUUUAAAUAUAUUUUUUUGGAAAAAACAUAGAACAUUUUUUAGUACCAAUCAAGUAGAAAUUUUUUUAAUAAAAAUAUUAAAAAAAUACGUAGGAAAAAAGAAGAUACAAGUAUCUUGUAGAAUUUUUAAAAGAUGCAUAGCUUAUCACUCCUUUUUUUUUUAUAAAUUUUCAAAAAAUUACAAUAAAAUAUAAAAUUUUAAUUCAAUGAGAAAAUGUUAGAAAAAAUGAAAUAAAAUUAUCAUUUUCUAUAAUUGUAAAAAAAGGAUAAUUGUCAAUAUACACCUCAAAACUUCGGAAAUAUCUUAUUUACCCCUACUUUUUUUUUUCUUUCCAAUAUGCCCCUCAUAUAUUCCACAGUUAUUCCAAAAUAUCCCUACAGUUACCACCCGUUAAGUUAAUUUGGGUUAAACGUGAGUUAAAUAUCUACCACAAUUAAAAAAAUUAAAAUGCCACUUUUACCCUUAACUUAAGGGCAAAUAAGAAAUGCUGGUGAUAGUAGAAGGGUAUAUUUGAAAAAACCAAAAAACAAAAUGCUCUUUGUGCCCCUAACUUAAGGGCAAAUAAAAAAAGACGGUGAUGGUAGAAGGGUAUAUUUUAAAGGGCAAAAUAAUAAUUUCACAGAAAUAACAGAGUUCAUUAACAGAUUUUAACUCUAGAGGUAUAUUAGAAAUAGGUUGGAACGUAAAAAGUGUAUUUUCAAAAUUAGCCUUCUAAGUAGGGUAAAUCAGAAAGUCGAAAACUUUUCCGGGUAUGUAAGUAAGUGCCCCUUGUAAAAAAAUGCAUAUGCUCAUCA
RNAcentral lists this long non-coding RNA (1597 nucleotides) under Ananas comosus (pineapple). RNAcentral describes it as "long non-coding RNA (ACOM_LNC026503)". Lineage: Eukaryota; Viridiplantae; Streptophyta; Magnoliopsida; Poales; Bromeliaceae. The record is from RNAcentral.